Molecule: ribosomal RNA, 440 nt
Filed under: uncultured bacterium
Lineage: Bacteria
Description: partial 16S ribosomal RNA
Rfam family: Bacterial small subunit ribosomal RNA
Source: RNAcentral
CCUACGGGGGGCUGCAGUGGGGAAUAUUGCACAAUGGGCGAAAGCCUGAUGCAGCAACGCCGCGUGAGCGAUGAAGGUCUUCGGGUCGUAAAGCUCUGUCCUAAGGGAAGAAUAUUGACGGUACCUUAGGAGGAAGCCCCGGCUAACUACGUGCCAGCAGCCGCGGUAAUACGUAGGGGGCUAGCGUUAUCCGGAAUUACUGGGCGUAAAGGGUGCGUAGGCGGCACUUCAAUUCAGAGGUGAAAGGCUACGGCUCAACCGUAGUAAGCCUUUGAAACUGUAGGGCUUGAGUGCAGAAGAGAAAGGUGCUAUUCCCGGUGUACAGGUGAAACGCGUAGAUCGUGGGCGGAACACCAGCUGCGAAGGCGGCCCUCUGGACUGCAACUGACGCUGAGGAACGAAAGCGUGGGGGGCGAACAGGAUUAGAUACCCUUGUAGUC